Molecule: long non-coding RNA, 1091 nt
Organism: Ruditapes philippinarum (Manila clam)
Lineage: Eukaryota; Metazoa; Mollusca; Bivalvia; Venerida; Veneridae
Exons: 2
Source: RefSeq, a predicted model, not a curated record
UUUUUGUGUCGCCUUGAAAAGGUGACAUAUAGGGGUUACUUUUGUCGGCGGCGGCGGCGUCUGUGUCGGCGUCGGCGUCCGCUAAAGCUUGUCCGGAGCAUAACUCAGUCACUAUAAGUCUGAUUGACUUCAAACUUGGUAUGCAUGCUUCUUUCAAUAACCCGAAGUGCAGUGCACAAGGACCGGUACUCUGCAGUUCUUAUUUUUUGAGUUAUUGCCCUUUGUUAAUUUUCAUACUUUAAUUUUGUCCGGGCCAUUUCUCUUCAACUAAAAAAGCUAUAGACUUGAAACUUCAUAGGAUGAUAGAUCUCAUUAAGAAGAAAUGCAGUGCACAAGAACCAGUACUCUGCACUCCUAAUUUUUGAGUUAUUGCCCUUUGUUAAUUUUCAUACUUUAUUUUUGUCCAGGCCAUUUCUCCUAAUGUAUAAAAGCCAUGGACUUGAAACUUCAUAGGAUGAUAGGUCUCAUUAAGAAGAAGUGCAGUGCACAAGAACUGGUACUCUGCAUUUCUUAUUUUUUGAGUUAUUGCCCUUUGUUUAUUUUCAUUUUUUUAAUUUUGUCCGGGCCAUUUCUCCUUAAGUAUAAAAGCUUUGGACUUGAAACUUCAUAGGAUGAUAGAUAUUAUUAUUAAGAAGUGCAGUGCACAAGAAUCGGUACUUUGUAUCCUAAUUUUUGAGUUAUGGCCCUUUGUUAAUUUUAAUACUUAAUUUUUGUCCUGGCCAUUUCUCCGAAAGUAUAAAAGUUAUGGACUUGAAACUUCAUAGGAUGAUAGAUCUCAUUAAAAAGAAGUGCAGUGCAUAAGAACUGAUACUCUGCAUUUCUUAUUUUUGAGUAAUUGCCCUUUGUUGAUUUUCUUACUUUAUUUUUGUCCUGGUCAUUUCUCCUCAAGUAUGAAAGCUAUGGACUUGAAACAUCAUAGAAUGAUAGAUCUUAUUGAUAAGAAGUGCAGUGUACAGAAAUGCUGCUCUGCACGUAUUAUUUUUUUAGUUAUUGCCCUUUGUUAUUUUUCAUAUUUCAUUUUUGUCCUGGCCAUUUCCCCUAAACUACAUUGUUCACAAGGCGACACAUCCGACUCGCGGAGUUCUAGUUGA